This is a non-coding RNA of Callithrix jacchus (white-tufted-ear marmoset), 9300 nucleotides long. The record is from RefSeq and is a predicted model, not a curated record. NCBI's taxonomy places the organism in Eukaryota, Metazoa, Chordata, Mammalia, Primates, Cebidae.
CAUUAGGGGGCGAGCUCCACGGCGCCGGUGGCCUUGCCUGUCAUCUCUCAGAACAGGGCCUGCCGCACACACCAUGCACUUAGUGAACAUCUGUAGAAUGAAGAAAGGAUCAUAGCGGAGGUGUCCCAGUCGCCCGCUGAAAAGGCGCCGGGAUCUAUGCAAUUUCGCCUGCGGCUGAAACAGCGGCGCUGAGACUCGUGGCGCUUUUCUGCCCGGGAAUUCCCUGGUCUGGUUCCCGGCUUCAGUCCCCGUCUCAAUCAGCUGGAUGGGUGACUCUGCCUUCUCGGAGCUCCAAACGCCAACUAAAAGGGCACCCAGUCCCGCAUACUCCGCACUGAGAACCGCUGUGCCGGCCAGAAGAGUCGCGUUGGCGACCCGUGGGGCUCCUCCGCUGGGAAUCUCCUGGUCCGUAAACAGCAAAAAUUCGUCUGGAAGUCUGGCGUCCACACUCGCUGUGCCUUCACUGGGAGCUGCAACCCUGAGCUGCUGCUGGACGGACAUUGUGGAUCCCCGAGAGUUGCAUUUUUAUAUGUGCUACUUGGGAGGCUGAGGAAAGACAGUGGCUUGAACCCAGGAGGUGGAGUAUGCGGUGAGUGGAGAUCACCCCAUUACAUUCCAGCCUGGGCGAUAGAGCAAGACUCCGUCUCAAAAAAAAAAAAAAAAAAAAAAAAAAAAAAAAAAGGACCUGCACGGGACCACACAGUAAGUAUCAGAAGGGAGAGAAUGAUCAGAUGUGCUUUGCACAAAGUUAGCUGUAACUGUGCUCCCCCAGAUGCUGCCUCCCCAUUCCAAGCCUUUGUUCUUGUGUGUCCUGUUAGUCAUAGUGAAAACCAGCCAUUACUAAGUACCUAGCAUGGCCUAAUCAUUUGCAUGUAUUAUCUCACCUAAUUUUCACAGCCCUCUGAAAUAAGGAACUGGGAUUAUCAUUCCCAUUUUACAGAAGAGAAAACUGAGGAGCUAAGUAGCUUCCCUGAGGUGGUGCAGCCCAGGCCUCUGCACAUCUACCUCUGUGCCACACCACCCCUUGUCAAUAGGCAGGGAUGAGACUGCCCAUCAGUCAGGCCCUGAUCCACAGCAAUGAAUCGAGGGCCUGGGCUACGAGCUGACCCAAGUCAGGGGCUCUUGUCUUUCCAGAUCACAGACUGAAGAAUUUGAUGGAAGCUACAGGUCCUCACCCUAGAAAUAUGCAGACACACAGACACGUAGCAUCUUGCACAUACGUUAGGAAAUUCCCAGAUCCCCACAAGCCUGUCCUUGGGCCCCCCUAGGCAAGCAUGCCAUAGGGGAAGACAUUUGCGGGUAAAUGCUUCAGCCUACAGAUAUUCUCCCAUCUGGAGCAAAUGGGCAAGCCUUUGAGUUCUACAGGGUUUGAUUUUGGGGACAAGGAAAACAAAAUUCCACAUCUAUUUUCAUUUACCUCAUCUGAGAAAGGUACAAAAAGCAGCAGCCUGCCCUCCAAGCCCCCAUCUUGGGGCUGACCUAAUUACCCAGCUUCUUUCCGCCACCCAGAUGGCUGAACGCUGCUAGAGGAAAUCUUCUAAUUCUGCUGGUUUCUGCCAGUGCACACGUACGGUUCCUAAUCCCAGCAGGGCCUUUACCACUACUUGGCAGCUCUUACUGUACCAGAUAAACACUCAUACCCAAUUCCCACAAUGGCCAUUCCAACCUUCUUUAAUGAUUCACUAAGCUUUAAAGUUUUCAUGUGAUAGCAGAAGCCCAACUGCACGUAGUUCAAUUCACACCUUCCACAGUUUUCAUCCUGUUUCUCCCUCCACCUCUGCUCUCAAUCCUUUCAUUUUCUUUCCUUUCUUUCUUUUUUUUUUUCUUUUUUUUGCUAUUUAUGUAGCAGCUCCUGUGCCUGUUACUGGGCUAGGCUCUGGGAUGCCUGUCAUAGUCUCUGCUCUUGUGGAGCAAAUAGCCCAGAGACAAAGACAUCAUUCAACAAAUAUUAAUAAUUACAAGUAUGAUGAGGGGUACUCAGGGACAGUGGGGAGUGUUAGAGAAUGUGUUGAUCUGGGGGUUUCAGGAGGGCCUUCCUGAGGAAUGGCAUUUAAAGCUGAGACUUCAGGGAUGACAUGUCAGCUAGGAAUCCUUUGGUUUACACAUAACAGAAAACCUAACAGCAAAACCAUAAGAUUUUUUUUUUUUUUUUGAGACAGAGUUUCGCUUUUGUUGCCCAGACUGGAGUGCAAUGGUACAAUCUCGGCUCACCACAACCUCCGCCUCCUGGGUUCAAGCAAUUCUCCUGCCUCAGCCUCCCGAGUACCUGGGACUACAGGCGCGUGCCACCAUGCCCAGCUAAUUUUUUUUUAUUUUUACUAGAGACAGGGUUUCACCAUGUUGACCAGGAUGAUCUCGAUCUCUUGACCUUGUGAUCCACCCGCCUCGGCCUUCCAAAGUGCUGGGAUUAUAGGCGUGAGCCACCAGGCCUGGCCAAAAAAUACUUUAUCUAUCUAUCUAUCUAGAGUUCAUUAAUCCAGUAUACCCCCCAAUUAUCAUGUCAACAUGUAAUCAACAAGAAAAAUAUUAAUUUGAUAUCUUGCACCCUUUAUUGUAGAAAUCCAUUGUGUAUUUUACACUUACAGCGCAUUGCAAUUCAGAGCAGUCACAUUUCAAAUGCUCAGUAGUCACAAGUGGCCGGUGGCUACUGUACUGAAUAGUGCUACCAACUUUUUUUAUUUUUUAUUUUUGACAGAGUCUUGCUCUUUUGCCCAGGUUGGAGUGCAGUGGCACCAUCUCGGCUCACUGAAACCCCCGCCUCCUGGGUUCAAGCAAUUUUCCUGGCUCACCCUCCUGAGUAGCUGGGAUUACAGACAUGCGCCAUUACAUUCAGCUAAUUUUUGUAUUUUUAGUGGAGACAGAGUUUCACCAUGUUGGCCAGGCUGGUCUUGAACCCCUGACCUUAGGUAAUCCUCCCACCUCAACCUCCCAAAGUGCUGGGAUUACAGGUGUGAGCCACUGCACCCACCCGGCUUUUCUAUUUUUAAGACUUACAUAAAGAUUUGUACAUACUGUUCCUACCAUUUGCGUUUAAUCAUUAAACUACAGCCAAGGUGUGCCUGGAGAACAAAUUGGGAGGCAGUGCUUGGCCUGUACAAAUCAAAAUGGAAAGCUAUCAACUGCGAAGUAUUGUGCAACAAGAAAUAAAUAAUACCACCGAAGGCCUACAGAUAGACCCCGGCAAUUAUGGACAUUCGAUUUAUGACAAACCUUGCUUGCAGACGGUUAAAAACAGUCUUUUCUUGGGAGGCCGAGGCGGGUGGAUCACGAGGUCAAGAGAUCGAGACCAUCCUGGUCAACAAGGUGAAACCCCGUCUCUACUAAAAAUACAAAAAUUAGUUGGGCACGGUGGUGCGUGCCUGUAAUCCCAGCUACUCAGGAGGCUGAGGCAGGAGAAUUGCCUGAACCCAGGAGGCGGAGGUUGCAGUGAGCCGAGAUCGCGCCAUUGCACUCCAGCCUGGGUAACAAGAGCGAAGCUCUGUCUCAAAAAAAAAAUCUUUUCAACACAUGGUGCUGGAAUAACUGAAUCUCCAAAGGGAAUACUAUGUAUCAUGACCCCCUACUUCCCAGUAUAUGUCAAAAUCAACUCCAGGUGUUUUCCAAUCUUAAAUGAGCAAAGAAAACAAUAACACUUUCAGAAGAUAGGCAAAGGACUUGAGCAGCCAUUCCACAGAAGAUAUCCAAAUGGCCAGCUGACAUAUCACAAGAUGUUUAACCUCAUUUAUAGACACAGAAAUGCAAGUUCAACCCAUACCAAGGUACCACAAACUCACCAGAAUGGUCAACCACGUUGACAACCUCAAGAACUGGUGAGGGCGUGGAACAACUGGAACUCUCAUACACUGCCUCUGGGAAGGAAAAUUAGCACAACCACUUGCCUUUCUCUAGUUAAGCGGAAUAGACUCACCCAGCAAUUCUACUCCUAGCUAUUUACCUGAUAACAUAUUUUAUUUAUUUAUUUAUUUAUUUAUUUAUCCAUUCAUUCAUUCAGAGACAAAGUUUCGCUCUUGUUACCCAGGCUGGAGGGCAAUGGCACAAUCUCGGCUCACUGCAACCUCUGCCUCCCAGGUUCAGGUGAUUCUCCUGCCUCAGCCUCCCAAGUAGCUAGGAUUACUGACAUGCACCACCACACCUGGCUAAUUUUGUUUUUGUUUUCAGACAGGAUCUGGCUCUGUCGCCCAUCCACGCUGGAGUGCAGUGGCAUGAUCUCACCUCACUGCAAGCUCUGCCUCCUGGGCUCAAGUGAUUCUUGUGCCUCAGAGGCAGCUACCUGAGUAGCUGGGAUUACAGGCAUGCCCAGCUAAUUUUUUUUUUUUUCUGAGACGAAGUUUCACUCAGUCACCCAGGCUGGAGUGCAGUGGCAUGAUCUUGGCUCACUGCAACCUCCGCCUCCUGGGUUCAAGCAAUUCUCCUGCCUCAACCUCCCAAGUAGCUGGGAUUACAGGCGCCCACCACCACACCUGGCUAAUUUUCUGUAUUUUUAGUAGAGAUGAUGUUUCACCAUAUUGGCCAAGCUGGUCUUGAACUCUUGACCUCAGGUGAUCCACCAACCUUGGCCUCCCAAAGUGCUGCGAUCACAGGCAUGAGCCACUGUGCCCAGCAAAUUUUGUAUUUUUAGUAGAGGCAGGUUUUCUUCAUGUUGGUUAGGCUGGUCUCAAACCCCUGACCUCAGGUGGUCUGCCCGCCUUGGCCUCCCAAAGUGCUGAGAUUGUAGGCGUGAGCCACUGUGUCCAGCCCCAUUUUUACAGUAGCAUAUUUGAAAUAGCUUAAAACUGGAACAAAAUGUGGCAUAUACACACAUUGUAUGUAUAUACAUACAGUGGAAUGUUACUCAGCCAUAAAAGGGAAUUAAGUUCUGAUACAUGCUAUAACAUGGAUGAACCUUGAAAACAUUAUGCUAAGUGAAAUAAGCCAGACGCAAAAGGACAAACAUUGUAGGCACUUUAUAUGAGGUACCCAGGAUAGGCAAAUUCAUAGACAGUAUAUUAGGAGUUAUCAGGGACUAAUGGGAGGUGGAAUGCCAGUUAUUGCUUAAUGGUUACAGAGCUUCUGUUUGGGAUGAUGAAAAGUUCUGGAGUAGAUAGUGGUGACGGUUGAACAAUAUAAUUAGUGCCACUGAAUUGUACACUUAAAAAUGGUUAAAAUGGCAAAUUUUGUCAUACAUUUACUUAUUUAUUUCUUUAUUGAGACGGGGUUUUGCUCGUGUUGCCCAGGCUGGAGUGCAAUGGUUCGAUCUUGGCUCACUGCAGCCUCCGUCUCCUGGGUUCCAGCAAUUCUCCUGCCUCAGCCUCCUGAGUAGCUGGGAUUACAGGCGCGCACCACCACGCCCAACUCAUUUUGUGUUUUUAAUAGAGACAGGGUUUUUCCAUGUUGGUCAGGCUGGUCUUGAACUCCCGACCUCAGGUGAUCUGCCUGCCUUGGCCUCCCAAAGUGUUGGGAUUACAGGCAUGGGCCACCAAUCCUGGCCCAUACAUUUAUUUUACCACAAUUUUUUUAAGAUAGAGUCUCACUCUGUUGCCCAGUUUGGAGUGCAGUGGUGCGAUCUUGGCUCACUGCAACCUCUGCCUCCCAGGUUUAAGCGAUUCUCCUGCCUCAGCCUCUGAGUAGCUGGGACUACCGGUGUGUGUCUCCAUGCCCAGCUAAUUUUCAUAUUUUUAGUAGAGACGGGGUUUCACCAUGUUGGUCAGGCUGGUCUUGAACUCCUGACCUCAUGAUAUGCCUGCCUUGGCCUCCCAAAGUGCUGAGAUUAGAGGCGUGAGCUACCACACUUGGCCUAUUUUACCACUAUUUUUGAAAAUUAAUAAUGUAAUAUACCACAAACCAUUGAACGGUAUACUCGACAUGGGUGAAUUGAUGGUAUGUGAAUUAUAUCUCAAUAAAGCAGUUUACAAAAUUCUAAGUGAUUGCUUUUAGAAUUCAUUUUUAGGUGGUAAAAUUAGUUUUAACAAGCAACUGAGUGAGGACUAUAACUAUCAAGGGAGCAGGAUUCCUUCCUGGGCUCGGGAGGAGGCCGUCAUCAGAAGCAGCACUCUGGAGGCGUCUAGAACUUUGUUUUGACUGAGGCAGUUGUUGUGGGAGGUUCAUUUUAUAACCAUCCAUUGAGCUAUAUAUUUAUGUUUUGCAUACUUUUAUUAUAUAUAUGUGUGUGUGUGUAUCUAUCAUCUAUCUAUCUAUCUACCUACCUACCUACCUACCUAUUCUUUUUAGACAGAGUUUUGCUCUUGUCGCCCAGGCUACAGUGCAGUGGCACAAUCUCAGCUCUCUGCAACCUCUGCCUCCCAGGUUCAGGUGAUUCUCCUGCCUCAGCAUCCCGAAUAGCUGGAACUACAGGCAUGCACUAGCAUGCCCAGCUGAUUUUGUAUUUUUGGUAGAGAUGUUGUUUCAUCAUGUUGACUAGGCUGGUCAGGAAUUCCUGACCUCAGGUGAUCUGCCCACCUCGGACUCCCAAAAUGCUGGGAUUACAAGUGUGAGCCACCGUGCCUGGCCAGUCAUUUCCAAAGGUUAUGCUAACUACGUAAUUUGUCCUUAUGUACUGACUUAGAUCCUAACCUAGUGUAAAGUGUAACUCCAUUGCUGAUGGAUUUGAGAGCCACUUAAGAGACUUGGUGACUGACUGGAGUAUCAGGGAAAAAGAGAGAAACUAAAGAAUGAUAUUCUCAGGCCUAAUAACUCUGUUAUUCUCUGGCCUAAACAACUGACUAAAGAGUUGUUCUAUUUAUUGAGAUAAGGUUCAUGGGGAGAAUAGUUAGAGGUGCUGGGCGUGGUGGCUCACGCCUAUAAUCCCAGCACUUUGGGAGGCAGAGGUGGGUGGAUCACGAGGUCAAGAGAUCGAAACCAUUCUGGCCAACAUGGUAAAAAAUACAAAAAUUAGCUGGGCAUGGUGGCACGCACCUGUAGUCCCAGCUACUCGGAAGGCUGAGGUAGGAGAAUUGCUUGAACCCAGGAGGCAGAGGUUGCAGUGAGCCGAGAUCGUGCCAUUGCACUCUAGCCUGGUGCCUGACGACAGAGCAAGACUCCAUCUCAAAAAAAGAAAAAAAAGAAUAGUUGGAGGAUAAAGAGAAUAGGCCCACUCCUUUUUUCUUAAUAUUUUACCAUAAAAAAUUUCAAAAAUACAGAAAGACAGACUGUAAACACUCAUAUACGUACCACCUGGGUUCUACAACUUAUUGCUAUAUUUUCUUCUUCACAUCUUUCCAUAUACCUAGAAGAGUUCAUUUUUGAACAAGCUGAAUUUGUGACAUCUAGGAGACAUCCAAGUGUCCUGUCGAAUAGGCUACUAGUCUAGAGUGCAGAAAUACGUUAACAGCAGGCAGGCCAGGUGCGGUGGCUCACGCCUAUAAUCCCAGCACUUUGGGAGGCCAAGGCGGGUGGAUCACCUGAGGUCAGGAGUUCAAGACCAGACUGGCCAACAUGGUGAAACUGUCUCUACUAAUAAUACAAAAAAGUUAGCUGGGUGCAGUGGCGCACACCUGUAAUUUCAGCUACCUGGGAGGCUGAGGCAGGAGAAUCACUUGAACUUGGGAGGUGAAGAUUGCAGUGAGCCGAGACUGUGCCAUUGCACUCCAGCCUGGGUGACAAGCGCAAAACUCCAUCUCAUUUAAAAAAAAGGCUACAAGUGCUGCCUCCUUUUCUUCACCUCCCAUUUACACUCAACUCUCCAGAAUUUGACUUGUGACAGCUUCCUUUUGAAGAUGCCACCACUGAGCACACUGACUACUGAGCAGUCCAAAAUUGAACUCAUGUGUUCCCUCUGUGAAAGCUGCUCCUCUUCCUCCUGUAUGUCCUACUGCCUUAGUCAGUAUGAGCUGCAAAGCACCACAGACGGAGUGGGUUAAACAGCAGAAAUUAUUUCUCACAGUUCUGGAGGCCGGAAGUCCUAGACCAUGUGCCGGCAUGGUCAGGUGCAGGUGAGUGCCCUCUGCCAGGAUGCAGGCUGCCAACUUGUAUCUCACGGUGCAGGAAGAGCGAGAGAGCUCUCUGGGGUCCCUUUUAUAAGAGCACUAAUCCCAUUUAUGAGGGCUCCACCCUCAUGAUCUAACCUCCCAAAGGCCCCACCUCCAAAUACCAUCACAUUGGGGGUUAGGAUUUCAACAAAUGCAUUUGGGGGUACAUAAACAUUCAGUCUGUAACACCCACCUUAGUUACCUGAGCCUCAAACAUGGCGGUCACCCUAGACAUCUCCCCCAAGCAAACAGGUUCUCUCAAAUCCUGUCUCCUAAAGAGCUUUAAAACAAAGUCCCCUCUCUCACCAUGCCCACCUUUUUUUUUUUUUUUUUUUGAGACCGAGUCUGGCUCUGUCGCCAGGCUGGAGUGCAGUGGCACGAUCUUGGCUCACUGCAACCUCUGCCUCCUGGGUUCAAGCGAUUCUUCUGCCUCAGCCUCCCAAGUAGCUGGGACUACAGGGAUACGCUACCACGCCCAGCUAGCUUUGUAUUUUUAGUAGAGACAGGGUUUCUCCAUGUUGGUCAGGCUGGUCUUGAACUCCUGACCUCAGGUGAUCCAGCCACCUCAGCCUCCCGAAGGGCUGGGAUCACAGGCAUGAGCCACCAAGCCUGGCCUAGACUUUCUUAAGCGGCAAAUCGGAACACAUCUUCUGCUUGAAAAGCCAGUGUCCUUCUGGGCCAGGGCACUAAGAUCCACUUAAAACCCUUCGGGUGAGAUGUCAGUGAGGAGCUCCUGCUUACUAUUCCAGCCAUAUCUAAAAGGAAGGCCACCAGAGAGUCAGGCCCUUUCAGUCUCUACUUUUCUCCUGGAUAAGCUCUGACCUCGGCCCCCUCCUGUGUACCUGUGGUGCUCCCAGCCCCACUCCCACCUCGGGACGUUACUGUUGUGCUCAGAGCACACUGGGGGCCCCAUGCCACACUUACCAUACCUGCUAGGCUCAUGAACAGUGAACAGUUUCAGGGCAGGGACUGUGUGUGUUCUUGAUGUGUAUCCCCAAGUCCUGCACAGUGUGCAUAGAAAGGGGUUCAAUAAAUGGAUAUUGGCCAGGCAUGGUGGGUCACGCCUGUAAUCCCAGCACUCUGGGAGGCCGGCCAACAUGGCGAAAACCCAUCUGUACUAAAAAUACAAAAAUUAGCUGGGUGUGCUGGUACACACCUGUAAUCCCAGCUACUCGGGAGGCUGAGGCAGGAGAAUCAUGUCAACCCAGAAGGGAAGUUUGCAGUGAGCCGAGAUCAUGCCACUGCACUUCAGCCUGGGUGACAGAGCAAGACUGUCUCAAAAAAAAAGGAUAAUGAAUGAAGGCAUGGAUUCUAAGGAUCAAAAGUGAAGCUUUAAAAAUGUUAGGCUUACACGGAC